GAGAGAGAGAGAGAGAGAGAGAGAGAGAGAGAGACGCAAAAAGGACGGGGAGGAGGCAGAGGGAGGGAGCAAACCUCUGUCACUCACUAGAACCACUGCCAUCAUAUUGGGGUCUGGGAGAGCUCCAAGUCGUUAAAUCGUGUUCUGCAGGAAGUUGAGCCAGAGAGAGACCACGAGAGGCACUGAGAAUCAGGGCUCUGCUAUCCUGUCAGCAAAUCCUCCAGCUGUUGACUGCAUCAGAUCAAGACCUCUCCACCACAGUUCUACUCUAACCCUCUGGGUUCUCUUUCCCUCCUUCCACAUCAGACCUGAUUAUGGCUACGCUCUGAAGAAGGAAGUUGCCAUGACAAGCCUCACCUCCCAUCUUCUUCUGGCAUGAAGCUAUGGCUUCCCAUACCUGUCAUGGCCUUCAUAAGACAAGGAGAAUGAAGAACAUGGAAAACAAAAUGUGGAAAACCACAAUCAUCCCCAUUUGGGCCUCAAGCCUUCUCAGUACUCUUUCUUCAAGACACCUGAAGCUUGAAUUAUGCAUAGUUUGAUCAUAAGAUAUUGUCUCCAGGUCUUAUCAUUAUAAGGAGUAAGAACCGAAACUUGAACCUUAUUUCACCCAGACUCAUUUUACUGAUUAAGAAACUGAAACUUGGAAAUAAGUACUGAUUUACUCAAGGUCAUGCAGGAAAUUUAAGUCCUCCAUCUCUGAACCUAGAGUUUUCUCCAUUCCAUACUGCUCUCAUUUAUUCAGCCAGGAAGUCCAUAUCAGCACUGCCUGGUUAGGAUCCAUUACUCUAUCUCUUGAUUUAAUUAGGAUCCAUUACUCUAUCUCUUGAUUUAAUUAGGAAAAGAAAUCUAAUGAAUCAUUAAAGCCUUAAUGGGUAUGGAUAUUUAAAUAAAAAGACACCAUCUAUUGAUGAGCCUGCUCAAGGAAAUCUGAUCCCAGAAACUUUGCUGUGUUGUGGUUUUAAAAGUUGGAGGUCCCAGAUGGAUGCUGACAGCCAAGACUCAAACUGGCACCAGGUUUUGAUUGGCCUGGUGCUCAUAUUCCUAAUCCUCAUCACAGUCCUGGGUAAUGUGGUGGUGUGCCUGGCUGUGGGGCUGAACCGCAGGCUCCGGAGCCUCACCAACUGCUUCAUUGUGUCCUUGGCCAUCACCGACCUCCUCCUGGGCCUCCUGGUGCUCCCAUUCUCUGCUGCUUGUGAGCUGGGCCAGACAUGCAACUUUGAAGAGCCCCUUUGUAAAAUUUACACCAGCCUGGAUGUGAUGCUCUGCACUGCCUCCAUCCUCAACCUCUUCAUGAUCAGCCUGGACCGCUACUACGCCAUCACCGCUCCGCUGCGCUACACCAUGGUGGUAACGCCUAAGCGGGUGGCCAUUGCUCUGAUCUUCAUCUGGAUGAUCUCCAUCACGUUCUCCUUCUUGCCUAUCCACUUAGAGUGGAACACCCAAAACAUCACUAACUCGAACUUGACUCCCAGUAAAUGCAAACUGCAGGUCAACAAGGCCUACGGCCUGGUAGACGGCCUGGUCACUUUCUACAUCCCCCUGCUGGUGAUGUGUGCCACCUACUAUCGCAUUUUCAAAAUUGCCCGUGAACAAGCCAAGAGAAUUAACCACAGCUACUACAACAAGGCUGUCACCAUCCGCGAGCACAAAGCCACCGUCACCUUGGCAGUUGUGAUGGGGGCUUUUAUCAUCUGCUGGUUUCCCUACUUCACGGUGUUUGUUUACCGAGGAAUAUGGGGUGACAUCAAUGAGACCUGUGAAACCAUCGUCCUGUGGCUUGGCUAUGUCAACUCAGCUCUGAACCCCAUCCUGUAUGCGGCUCUGAACAGGGACUUCCGCACGGCGUACCAGUGCCUCUUCUGUUGCAGGGGCAGGGGUAUCACUUCCAGGGGGUCCUCCCUGUCUCCUAGCACCUCCCGCCAAUCCCAGAACCAGUCUCACCAAGUCACCCUAGGACUCCAGGAAGAGACCUCUCUGAGACUUCCAGUGCAGAACGGAAGCGAAGCCCCGUUCCCCCAGGAGCCAGAUAAUUUGGAAACUUCAAGUUUGGCUGGCCAGAGCUCUGGACAGUUUCCUAAGUCCCCAUGAUUCCGGUUGUAGAAAAUCCCAGUCCUUUCCUAUUUCGAUUGAAGUUAAGGCCAUGCUUACACUUACAACUGGAAACAGGAAAGGCAGAAGCAGGGCUCUUUGGAAGCCUUUUCUGGCCUAUACUUCCAACUCUAGAAUCAUCCUCACCUGCUGGAAAAAUGUGUGAGACUUGAAGUUCCUCAGGAAGCAAGUGGAGGAAUCUGAGGGAGGAUUUUCUGACACACUGAGAACACCACCAACCCAGAUCACUCAGGACAUCACUUCUCAGACCACUGAGGACAUCAUUAACCAAGACAUGUUGGAAACCAUCCCUGCCAACGAGGGCAGCAUUCCCAAAAUCAGCCAGGUUACUAAGGACACCAUCCCCAGGUCCAUAAGGCCAUCUUGCUACUCUCAAUUCAUUGAGUACAUUAUUUUCCUCUUCAUUGUUGACUUUUAUUUCCUAUGAUCUGAUCAGGAAAUAUUCAAGACAAGGCCAUAUGUCAGUCUGGGAGAAAAAUAAUUCAGGAGUUUUCAAACUAUGAGAUCAAAGAACAUGAAUUUAAAUUCCUGGAUGUCAGAAAACUGUUUAUGAGUCUCCCCUUAUUGAGAAAUAAGUCUCCAAACAUAAGUGCGUGCACACUUGUGCAUAUGUGACUCCUGGCUGAGACAGAGAAAGAAUUCACUCAUUAAAAACCUUGUCAAUCAUUUGGGAAAUUAAGAUCCCAAGAGAAGGAAGCAAAAAAAAAAAAAAAAAAAAAAAAAAAAAAAAAAAAAAAAAAUGUUCCUUUAAUCUUCAUUCAGCCAGGAUUAGAGCUACAGAGGCACCUGUAGGUCACUGAAAUACCUUCCCUUAUCCUCCCCACUGAAAUCUAUGGCCCAGCUCACCUCAUAUCCAACCACAGCUUAAAGCAAAGAAGUCACACCUCCUUUUAUCUCAUUUAGGCUGAGGAGAUCCCACCUUAUAAUAGUCCAACCAAGAAGGGUCCUCUAAGGAGCUUUUGAUCCUGAAAGACACACACACACACACACACACACACAUACACACACACACACAUACACACUGAGAAUUGUGAAUUCAGAAAUGUUCAAUAGACUGAGCACAGUCUCAGGGAGAAAGUGGGUAAGGUAAGGAGACUGACAGAAGGUAAGAGGGUCAAAAGGAGUAUGAGAAGAGGAUAUGAAGUGAGGGAUGUGAGGGGAAAGAAGGGAAAUAAGCACUUAUGUGGUGUGUUCUGUGUGCCAGGAACGAUGCCAAACACUCUACUUUUGAAAAAAUGAAGUAGCAGGCUUAGAAGUGGAGAAGGAAGGGAACACAAGAAGGAAGGUGUGAGAGGGAAGAUUGGGAGGAGGUGUAACAGUUCAGGAAUGAAGAGCAUCUGAGAUAUGACAAGGGAGUUUAGGCAUGGGGAAAUAAAACAGAGUAAAAGUUAUAAGUAAUAUGAAGGCAAGGAGAAGCAGGGGGAAAGGAAAUAAGGAGAAUAUAAAAUGAAACAUGAAGGGAAUAGAUAAGAAAUGGUAGAUUGAGGAACUCAGAGUCUAGAAAGUGAGUUGAAAACAUGGCGCUAAGGGACUAACACUACCCAAGUCUCCUUUAUAUUCUUAUAGAUCCUCCUUAAACUCUUGCAGUUUUUAACUUCUGCAAAGGGAAGAUUCUCUUCCUCUCCAAGUAACACAUAUACACACACACUACCACCACCACCACCACCACUACCAACAACAGUCUUUCACAUGUGCUGAAUUUUAUAAGAAAACUUUUCUAAAAUAAAGGGGAAGGACAAGGGAGGCUCUGAUGGAAAGUGUUUUUAUAAGGAGAAGUCCCACAGGAAAUGUGGAUUCAGUUUCCAAACACUGAUUAAAACUGAAGACUGAGCAAGCUGUGCAUCAAAUGGGCCAUGUGCUCAAAAAUUCUCCUUUGUUUCCUCUCUCCUAGUCCCUUCAACUUUCCUCACUCACCCAAUUGACAGAAUUAAUGAAACUUCUGAGAAAAGGCACUUUAAAAAAAAAAUGGAAAACUUGCCUGAUGAGAACAGAAAAAUCUGCAAAUAUGGCAGGCCAAGAAUGAUUAAGAAAACAGAUCAUCUUUGAGAAGAGCACUGACCUAGGAGACAUGAAAUUCCCAGGCUCCAACCAGGACACUGAAGCUAACUUGAUCCAUGAUUUAUAGUCUUUCUUCCUGGAACCUCAUCUCCCACAUCUGUAAAAGGCAGGAAGGGAUGGAGAGAGGUAUUGACCUAGAUAUUCUAAGGUCUCUUCCCUUCUCCUGGUCUCAGUUUCCUCUUCUUUAAAAUUAAGGAGGCUGGACUCCAUUAAGAACCCUCUCAGGACUAACAUUCCAUGGAAAAAAAAACAGAAAUGAAGAAGGUCUUCUGAGCCAGAGAGCAUUGAGACCACCUCCAGGAAACCUGACACUAAUGACCUUUCCUCUGACAACCUCACAGAGCACUUGGUUUGCACUUCUCUGAUGCAUGUAUUCUUGUGUAUUAUACCUAUGUGUAUCGGUAUCUUAUCUCCUAAGAGUUCCUUGAGAACAGGAACCACACCUUUCAUAAACUUUAAAUCUUCUCAAGCAACAAACACAAGACUCUGCACACAGUAGGUGCUUGAUAAAUGUUUGUUGAAUUAAUAUUAUUGAAAUCUAUCAAGGGUCAGUAUUACUUAGGUCUAUUUGAACUUAAGGAGAUAGAAAAAGAUUCCAUUUUUUUUCAUCUAUUACUAAAAGAGACUUCUAGGCACCAAUUAUGUUUUAAAGAUGACACUUUUAAAAAAUCUGAGGAAUGAAUGAAUGCCCAGAUCCAAAGCCCUAAAAGUCUCAAAGUAACCAAGGUAGAUAAAAUACGGGCUUUGGAUGCCAAAGCAGUCUGCAAACCACAUAGACACCAUUAGAAAGCUGAAAAGGAGCAAAGCUAAAGACAAAAGUGAAAGUUUGACCAAGUAUGAGAAAUGAGGCCAGUGAUUAAAAUGAGCUUAAAGUGAAAGAGAAGGUGACAACAUGAGCUUGUGUUUGUGCUUCUUUGAAAUCGUGUUUCUUGUUGUGUCUCAAUGUUGAGCCCACCUUGUAUCAUGAGUAAUUAACUAACUUAUGUUGUUAUUUUAAUAAAGAGUUUAUUUUUGUAGAAAACA
Sarcophilus harrisii (Tasmanian devil) is the source of this 5190-nucleotide RNA transcript. It is a transcript of the gene named histamine receptor H2, with no coding region annotated. The transcript is spliced from 4 exons. The record is from RefSeq and is a predicted model, not a curated record. NCBI's taxonomy places the organism in Eukaryota, Metazoa, Chordata, Mammalia, Dasyuromorphia, Dasyuridae.